UCAAUGUGUGGAAUUAUGUGGGUCAAUGGCUAUCUC
This 36-nucleotide small RNA is filed under the name Romboutsia ilealis. RNAcentral describes it as "CRISPR spacer". Lineage: Bacteria; Bacillati; Bacillota; Clostridia; Peptostreptococcales; Peptostreptococcaceae. The record is from RNAcentral.